CGACUCUCGGAAAUGAUAAUCAGCAAAAGGAACAAAUGGUUGCUUAGUAGCUUGACAAGCACAAAUUUGUACAGGAGUUAAUUAAAUGAAUGCUCACUCAAUUUCAUCAUGGGUUACUACUCGUUCUAUGAACAAAAACUGGUAACCCACUACGCACUCAUCUAUUUACACGUUUACACAUCCAUCACUCAUUUCCAAUAUGUUACCCUUAAUUAACGAAAAAUUCCAAGUAUACGACGAAAAAUUGAUGUGGCAGCUUAACGGCGUUUAUUUGUCCACUUGGAUUAAAGACAUACCCAACCAAAAUGACAAAUUUUUGUUUAAUUUCUGAAACACACUUCUUCUAAACCUUAAAAUCAAAAAACCCCCCAAAUUAAAAACAUAAAAUCACCCAAAUCAAAACUCCCAACAUAAAAUGCUAGAAUCAAAUUUCAUUGUUUCAAUCAAUGAAAACAAUAUGUCCAUGAAUUAUAUCCACCCAACUUCCAUAUUAAGAUUUGAUUCAAGAAGGAGAACAAAAAGGACAAUCAAAUUCUGGAAUAAAAUUAUCAAAUCCUGGAAAUGAA
Molecule: long non-coding RNA, 566 nt
Filed under: Olea europaea subsp. europaea
Lineage: Eukaryota; Viridiplantae; Streptophyta; Magnoliopsida; Lamiales; Oleaceae
Source: RNAcentral